ACAGGUGAAUAAAGAAUGAAAGAAUAAAUAUUAUACAUUUCAUGGGAGAGGGGUACAUUUGUUAUGAAUGGGGGUUGUCAUGGCAAUCAAACAAUAUAAAUAUAUGCCUCAUACACCAUACAAGUAGGCCACAGUUAAUCAAACAAUUAAGAUAUAAACAAGUAUAUGAUCAAAUCAAAUAAUCAAAGAAAUGAAAUGAAUGAGCAUUAAACAACGUAUGGGUGUAAGUGUAAGGGAACCGGCUCAUUGUAAGAAAGCCCAAGAGUAAGCUAUGUGAGGUUGAUGGCGAUGCUUAAAAAGCAAUCGACUUACAAGGGUGUAAAAAUGGGCUCGAUAUUAAAUCGAGAAAAACAUGAUUUUUAUAGUUUUAAAAUGGUUUUGAAUUAAAAUACAACAACUUUACAUUAUUAACAAAAUGAACAUAUGAGUGUAAUAAAGGCAUAAACAUAAAAAGAAACUAAAAUGCUAAAAGAAAAAAAUGAUAUAGCUAAUAAAAUGCCAAAAAAAGGUCGCACAUGAGUAUUGAACCCACCCCACCUAAUAUUAUGCAACUACCAUCUCUCCACUAGGCCACUCAACACUAUCUGCUAUUGAGGUACUAACAUAAAUAUAUGAACUGGGCUGACAAAUUUAUAACAAAAUAAAAAAAACAAAAUAAACAUUUUUAUGGUUUUAUAUUAUCUCUGUUAAAAACAAAUUAGGCUAAAUAAAAAAUAAAUAAUAAUAAUAAAAGAAAAUAAGAACAUAUACAUUUUUCUGAUUUUUGUGUUAAAAAUGAAAUAAAUUAAAUAAAUAAUAAAAAAAGAAAAGAAAAAACAAGAAAAUGGAAACGGAGAACACAGAAGCAGCUUCAUCGUCCUCGUCCUCCCCAUCUGCUUCACACAAAGAACCUCAAUGAAAUCUCUCUCCGCUCUCGAAAACGCUCAUNAUCUGCUUCACACAAAGAACCUCAAUGAAAUCUCUCUCCGCUCUCGAAAACGCUCAUCAACUCUCACAAUCUCCCUCACACCAAACCUCACAUUUCUCUCAAUCUCACAAUCGCUCGUACCUCAGC
Molecule: long non-coding RNA, 1054 nt
Filed under: Lathyrus oleraceus (garden pea)
Lineage: Eukaryota; Viridiplantae; Streptophyta; Magnoliopsida; Fabales; Fabaceae
Description: Pisum sativum (pea) long non-coding RNA (PSAT_LNC041215)
Source: RNAcentral